Molecule: transfer RNA, 76 nt
Filed under: Candidatus Segetimicrobium genomatis
Lineage: Bacteria; Bacillati; Candidatus Sysuimicrobiota; Candidatus Sysuimicrobiia; Candidatus Sysuimicrobiales; Candidatus Segetimicrobiaceae
Description: Terrabacteria group bacterium ANGP1 tRNA-Arg
Rfam family: tRNA
About the family: Transfer RNA (tRNA) molecules are approximately 80 nucleotides in length. Their secondary structure includes four short double-helical elements and three loops (D, anti-codon, and T loops).
Source: RNAcentral
GCGCCCGUAGCUCAGCGGAUAGAGCGUUGGCCUGCGGAGCCAAAGGUCGUGGGUUCAAGUCCCUCCGGGCGCGCCA